UCACCAAACCAAACCCAACCCUGAACCAUUAAUGGCGCCUCUCUCUCUCUCUCUCUCUCUCUCCAGCGUCCUUCUCCCUCUCCCUCUCCCUCUCCCUCACCGCCGCUCCUCUCCCCUCCACUCUCACCGGCGCUCCUCCUCACGUUGGCCGGCAACCGGAACACCGAUUCACCUCCUUGUUGGUCACCGUUGCCUGAGAUCCUCUCUCUCCCUCUCGGCUCUGUUUUUCUGUCUCACAAAAACCCAUACAGCUUCACAUACACGCACACACAUGGGUUCUUCAAAUAGGUAACAAGGGCUGCCCUAAAGCUUCCAGCAGCAAGAUUUACCAGAUCAUUUCCCCUGAAUGAAAUGUUACAAGAGACAGAGUCGUGUUGCCAUUGUUGUUAAGGCUACAGGCGAAAGCUCUGAAUCUUCGACUUCUCUGAGUGUUGUUAAAUCCGUACAAAAUGUUGUGAGUCCCCCCUCUCUCUCUCUCUCUCAUAAUUGUUUUAUUGCCAAUUGUUUUUAAUAAAAAAAUAGUGAAACUAUUUGGAAAAGGUUGCAAUUUGGGUCUAUGAUCUUGCACUUUCUGAUUCAAGCUGAGUCUGUGAACCUCUGUUGUUAUGAAGUAAAAAGGUUGCAAUUUGCAAUUCUUCUUUAUUUGAAUUUCUUUGAUUAUAAUGAUUGCAUAAUUUGAUGAUUCUGAAACAAAGACUAGGUAUAAUUCAUCUUUAUGGGUAAU
This is a non-coding RNA of Camellia sinensis, 724 nucleotides long. Lineage: Eukaryota; Viridiplantae; Streptophyta; Magnoliopsida; Ericales; Theaceae. The record is from RefSeq and is a predicted model, not a curated record.